RNAcentral lists this ribosomal RNA (1241 nucleotides) under metagenome. RNAcentral's name for it is "bacterial LSU rRNA". It matches the Rfam family "Bacterial large subunit ribosomal RNA", at positions 1564 to 2815 of the family's 2925-position model. The record is from RNAcentral.
UGAAUACGAGACGCUAAGGCGUCGAAGUAGUGUAUGUCACACUUCCAAGAAAAGCUUGCACUGUCAUAGAUAAAAAACGCCUGUACCAUAACCGACACAGGUGGGUAGGUAGAGUAUACUAAGGGGCGCGAGAUAACUCUCUCUAAGGAACUCGGCAAAAUAACUCCGUAACUUCGGGAGAAGGAGUGCCUUAUUCGUAAGGUUGCAAUAACAAGAUCCAAGCAACUGUUUAUCAAAAACACAGGUCUCCGCUAAGUCGUAAGACGAUGUAUGGGGGCUGACGCCCCCCAGUGCCAGAAGGUUAAAGAAGUUGGUUAGCAAUUGCGAAGCUGAUAACUGAAGCCCUGGUGAACGGCGGCCGUAACAAUAACGGUCCUAAGGUAGCGAAAUUCCUUGUCGGGUAAGUUCCGACCCGCACGAAAGGCGUAAUGAUUUGGAUACUGUCUCGGAGAGGGGCUCGGUGAAAUAGACUUGUCUGUGAAGAUGCGGACUACCUGCACCAGGACAGAAAGACCCUAUGAAGCUUUACUGUAACUUGAAAUUGAAAUUGGACUUUAUUCGCGCAGUAUAGGUGGGAGGCGUUGAUUAUAAUCUUGUGGGAUUAUUGGAGCCAUCAGUGAGAUACCACUCUUGUAAUGUUAGAUUUCUAACUUUGAAUCAUUAUCUGGUCAAAGAACAGUUUCAGGCGGGCAGUUUGACUGGGGCGGUCGCCUCCUAAACGGUAACGGAGGCGUACAAAGGUUUCCUCUGAACGGUUAGAAAUCGUAUCUAGAGUGUAAAGGCAUAAGGAAGCUUGACUGUGAGACCUACAAGUCGAGCAGGGACGAAAGUCGGUCUUAGUGAUCUGACGGUACUGAGUGGAAAGGCCGUCACUCAACGGAUAAAAGUUACUCUAAGGAUAACAGGCUGAUCUCCCCCAAGAGUUCACAUCGACGGGGAGGUUUGGCACCUCGAUGUCGGCUCAUCGCAUCCUGGGGCGGUAGUACGUCCCAAGGGUUGGGCUGUUCGCCCAUGAAAGCGGUACGCGAGCUGGGUUCAGAACGUCGUGAGACAGUUCGGUCCAUAUCCGGUGUAGGCGUUAGAAUAUUGAGAGGAGCCUUCUUUAGUACGAGAGGACCGAGAAGGACAUACCUCUGGUGUACCAGUUAUCGUGCCAACGGUAAACGCUGGGUAGCUAUGUAUGGAGUGGAUAACCGCUGAAAGCAUCUAAGUGGGAAGCCCACCUCAAGAUAAGUAUUCUC